Molecule: ribosomal RNA, 1492 nt
Filed under: Salmonella enterica subsp. enterica serovar Enteritidis
Lineage: Bacteria; Pseudomonadati; Pseudomonadota; Gammaproteobacteria; Enterobacterales; Enterobacteriaceae
Description: partial 23S ribosomal RNA
Rfam family: Bacterial large subunit ribosomal RNA
Source: RNAcentral
GCCCGCUCGCCGGAAGACCAAGGGUUCCUGUCCAACGUUAAUCGGGGCAGGGUGAGUCGACCCCUAAGGCGAGGCCGAAAGGCGUAGUCGAUGGGAAACGGGUUAAUAUUCCCGUACUUGGUGUUACUGCGAAGGGGGGACGGAGAAGGCUAUGUUGGCCGGGCGACGGUUGUCCCGGUUUAAGCGUGUAGGUGUGUGUUCCAGGUAAAUCCGGUUCACUUUAACACUGAGGCGUGACGACGAGGCACUACGGUGCUGAAGCAACAAAUGCCCUGCUUCCAGGAAAAGCCUCUAAGCAUCAGGUAACAUCAAAUCGUACCCCAAACCGACACAGGUGGUCAGGUAGAGAAUACCAAGGCGCUUGAGAGAACUCGGGUGAAGGAACUAGGCAAAAUGGUGCCGUAACUUCGGGAGAAGGCACGCUGACACGUAGGUGAAGUGAUUUACUCAUGGAGCUGAAGUCAGUCGAAGAUACCAGCUGGCUGCAACUGUUUAUUAAAAACACAGCACUGUGCAAACACGAAAGUGGACGUAUACGGUGUGACGCCUGCCCGGUGCCGGAAGGUUAAUUGAUGGGGUCAGCGCAAGCGAAGCUCCUGAUCGAAGCCCCGGUAAACGGCGGCCGUAACUAUAACGGUCCUAAGGUAGCGAAAUUCCUUGUCGGGUAAGUUCCGACCUGCACGAAUGGCGUAAUGAUGGCCAGGCUGUCUCCACCCGAGACUCAGUGAAAUUGAACUCGCUGUGAAGAUGCAGUGUACCCGCGGCAAGACGGAAAGACCCCGUGAACCUUUACUAUAGCUUGACACUGAACAUUGAGCCUUGAUGUGUAGGAUAGGUGGGAGGCUUUGAAGUGUGGACGCCAGUCUGCAUGGAGCCGACCUUGAAAUACCACCCUUUAAUGUUUGAUGUUCUAACGUGGACCCGUUACCCGGGUUGCGGACAGUGUCUGGUGGGUAGUUUGACUGGGGCGGUCUCCUCCUAAAGAGUAACGGAGGAGCACGAAGGUUGGCUAAUCCUGGUCGGACAUCAGGAGGUUAGUGCAAUGGCAUAAGCCAGCUUGACUGCGAGCGUGACGGCGCGAGCAGGUGCGAAAGCAGGUCAUAGUGAUCCGGUGGUUCUGAAUGGAAGGGCCAUCGCUCAACGGAUAAAAGGUACUCCGGGGAUAACAGGCUGAUACCGCCCAAGAGUUCAUAUCGACGGCGGUGUUUGGCACCUCGAUGUCGGCUCAUCACAUCCUGGGGCUGAAGUAGGUCCCAAGGGUAUGGCUGUUCGCCAUUUAAAGUGGUACGCGAGCUGGGUUUAGAACGUCGUGAGACAGUUCGGUCCCUAUCUGCCGUGGGCGCUGGAGAACUGAGGGGGGCUGCUCCUAGUACGAGAGGACCGGAGUGGACGCAUCACUGGUGUUCGGGUUGUCAUGCCAAUGGCACUGCCCGGUAGCUAAAUGCGGAAGAGAUAAGUGCUGAAAGCAUCUAAGCACGAAACUUGCCCCGAG